Molecule: ribosomal RNA, 438 nt
Filed under: uncultured bacterium
Lineage: Bacteria
Description: partial 16S ribosomal RNA
Rfam family: Bacterial small subunit ribosomal RNA
Source: RNAcentral
CUACGGACGCACCAGUGAGGAAUAUUGCACAAUGGGGGGAACCCUGAUGCAGCAACGCCGCGUGGAGGAUGACGCAUUUCGGUGUGUAAACUCCUUUUAUAUGUCAAGAAAAUGACGGCAGCAUAUGAAUAAGCACCGGCUAACUCCGUGCCAGCAGCCGCGGUAAUACGGAGGGUGCAAGCGUUACACGGAAUCACUGGGCGUAAAGGACGCGUAGGCGGGUUGGAAAGUCGGGUGUGAAAUCCUACAGCUUAACUGUAGAACUGCACUGGAAACUUCUAAUCUAGAGUAUGGGAGGGGGAGAUGGAAUUAGUGGUGUAGGGGUAAAAUCCGUAGAUAUCACUAGGAAUACCUAAAGCGAAGGCGAUCUCCUGGAACAUUACUGACGCUAAGGCGUGAAAGCGUGGGGAGCAAACAGGAUUAGAUACCCCUGUAGUC